This 483-nucleotide long non-coding RNA is filed under the name Homo sapiens (human). RNAcentral's name for it is "long non-coding RNA NONHSAT156125.1". The record is from RNAcentral. Lineage: Eukaryota; Metazoa; Chordata; Mammalia; Primates; Hominidae.
UGUAUCAACAAUAUGUCUUGUCAAGAUAUUAUUUUGUAACAUUUUCAGAAUGAAACCCAUCUCUGGGCACUGGGGUUCAUUCUUGGUGCACAACUGCCUCGUUGAUCAAGUUCUCUGGCUUUUAUUAUUUCUGCUUGCAAAUAGAGAUACAAAACAGCCAGCCUCAGAAGAAGGAGGGGCUGAUUUCAUCAGCAUGACUAAAGCUGACAGAGUACUUGAGAGGACCUGGCAGGGUACUGCAGAACAUCUUGGCCUUGCAGAUCUGUUUGCUGGGAAUGUGGUGUGUGUUUUAGCAGAGACCCCAAUGACCUGCCAGGGCACGUAGAGAGAGCAGGCUACUUGAGGGCAGGGAGUAGACCACCGCCAUUUCUGUGACCUCACAUCUGGCAUGGCCAGGCACACAGUAGGUACUCAAUAAUUAACUCCCUGCUGUUUCCCUAAUCAUGUAGAGGAAAGCAACAAUGUUCAGUAAUUAACUGUUUA